UACGUAGGGUGCGAGCGUUAAUCGGAAUUACUGGGCGUAAAGCGUGCGCAGGCGGUUUUGUAAGCCAGAUGUGAAAUCCCCGGGCUCAACCUGGAAAUGGCAUUUGGGACUGCAAGGCUGGAGUGUGGCAGAGGAGACUGGAAUUCCCGGUGUAGCAGUGAAAUGCGUAGAUAUCGGGAGGAAUACCGAUGGCGAAGGCAGGUCUCUGGGCUGACACUGACGCUCAUGCACGAAAGCGUGGGGAGCAAACAGG
This 253-nucleotide ribosomal RNA is filed under the name uncultured bacterium. Its description in RNAcentral is "partial 16S ribosomal RNA". It matches the Rfam family "Bacterial small subunit ribosomal RNA", at positions 524 to 776 of the family's 1533-position model. The record is from RNAcentral.